AUGCAUCUCUGACAGACCUGGAGCAGUGCUGUCUGCUGCUAAGGUUUCCAAUACAGAUACAAGAGAAGUGUCCUUAUGCUUUCUGUCUGCCUGACUGUGGCAGCCAAAAUUAAGUAAAGGAAUGGGGGG
Molecule: small nucleolar RNA, 129 nt
Filed under: Otolemur garnettii (small-eared galago)
Lineage: Eukaryota; Metazoa; Chordata; Mammalia; Primates; Galagidae
Description: Small nucleolar RNA SNORA31 (ENSOGAG00000022531.1)
Source: RNAcentral